GUUAAGCGACUAAGCGUACACGGUGGAUGCCCUGGCAGUCAGAGGCGAUGAAGGACGUGCUAAUCUGCGAUAAGCGUCGGUAAGGUGAUAUGAACCGUUAUAACCGGCGAUUUCCGAAUGGGGAAACCCAGUGUGUUUCGACACACUAUCAUUAACUGAAUCCAUAGGUUAAUGAGGCGAACCGGGGGAACUGAAACAUCUAAGUACCCCGAGGAAAAGAAAUCAACCGAGAUUCCCCCAGUAGCGGCGAGCGAACGGGGAGCAGCCCAGAGCCUGAAUCAGUGUGUGUGUUAGUGGAAGCGUCUGGAAAGGCGCGCGAUACAGGGUGACAGCCCCGUACACAAAAAUGCACAUGCUGUGAGCUCGAUGAGUAGGGCGGGACACGUGGUAUCCUGUCUGAAUAUGGGGGGACCAUCCUCCAAGGCUAAAUACUCCUGACUGACCGAUAGUGAACCAGUACCGUGAGGGAAAGGCGAAAAGAACCCCGGCGAGGGGAGUGAAAAAGAACCUGAAACCGUGUACGUACAAGCAGUGGGAGCACGCUUAGGCGUGUGACUGCGUACCUUUUGUAUAAUGGGUCAGCGACUUAUAUUCUGUAGCAAGGUUAACCGAAUAGGGGAGCCGAAGGGAAACCGAGUCUUAACUGGGCGUUAAGUUGCAGGGUAUAGACCCGAAACCCGGUGAUCUAGCCAUGGGCAGGUUGAAGGUUGGGUAACACUAACUGGAGGACCGAACCGACUAAUGUUGAAAAAUUAGCGGAUGACUUGUGGCUGGGGGUGAAAGGCCAAUCAAACCGGGAGAUAGCUGGUUCUCCCCGAAAGCUAUUUAGGUAGCGCCUCGUGAAUUCAUCUCCGGGGGUAGAGCACUGUUUCGGCAAGGGGGUCAUCCCGACUUACCAACCCGAUGCAAACUGCGAAUACCGGAGAAUGUUAUCACGGGAGACACACGGCGGGUGCUAACGUCCGUCGUGAAGAGGGAAACAACCCAGACCGCCAGCUAAGGUCCCAAAGUCAUGGUUAAGUGGGAAACGAUGUGGGAAGGCCCAGACAGCCAGGAUGUUGGCUUAGAAGCAGCCAUCAUUUAAAGAAAGCGUAAUAGCUCACUGGUCGAGUCGGCCUGCGCGGAAGAUGUAACGGGGCUAAACCAUGCACCGAAGCUGCGGCAGCGACGCUGAUGCGUUGUUGGGUAGGGGAGCGUUCUGUAAGCCUGCGAAGGUGUGCUGUGAGGCAUGCUGGAGGUAUCAGAAGUGCGAAUGCUGACAUAAGUAACGAUAAAGCGGGUGAAAAGCCCGCUCGCCGGAAGACCAAGGGUUCCUGUCCAACGUUAAUCGGGGCAGGGUGAGUCGACCCCUAAGGCGAGGCCGAAAGGCGUAGUCGAUGGGAAACAGGUUAAUAUUCCUGUACUUGGUGUUACUGCGAAGGGGGGACGGAGAAGGCUAUG
This 1440-nucleotide ribosomal RNA is filed under the name Escherichia coli. RNAcentral's name for it is "partial 23S ribosomal RNA". It matches the Rfam family "Bacterial large subunit ribosomal RNA", at positions 1 to 1486 of the family's 2925-position model. Lineage: Bacteria; Pseudomonadati; Pseudomonadota; Gammaproteobacteria; Enterobacterales; Enterobacteriaceae. The record is from RNAcentral.